UGCACAGACUGCCUUAAAGAUGGCAUAUAAGAUGCUUUUUGAUUAACUCUGCAAUUUACACUGAAUAUAAGAACAUGACCCAAAAUCUUUAUUGGUUCAAUGCUUUUAAUCAAUAAUAAAUAAAGGGAAUAUAUCAAUUGCAAUAUUUAGAAA
Phyllostomus discolor (pale spear-nosed bat) is the source of this 153-nucleotide long non-coding RNA. RefSeq lists it as uncharacterized. NCBI's taxonomy places the organism in Eukaryota, Metazoa, Chordata, Mammalia, Chiroptera, Phyllostomidae. The transcript has 3 exons. The record is from RefSeq and is a predicted model, not a curated record.